GGAGAGGUGGCAGAGCGGUUGAAUGCACCGGUCUUGAAAACCGGCAGGGGUCAACGCCCCUCCAGGGUUCGAAUCCCUGCCUCUCCGCCA
Molecule: transfer RNA, 90 nt
Filed under: Thiolapillus brandeum
Lineage: Bacteria; Pseudomonadati; Pseudomonadota; Gammaproteobacteria; Chromatiales; Sedimenticolaceae
Also listed under: 1 other name
Description: tRNA-Ser
Rfam family: tRNA
About the family: Transfer RNA (tRNA) molecules are approximately 80 nucleotides in length. Their secondary structure includes four short double-helical elements and three loops (D, anti-codon, and T loops).
Source: RNAcentral